RNAcentral lists this ribosomal RNA (1668 nucleotides) under Triticum aestivum (bread wheat). Its description in RNAcentral is "partial small subunit ribosomal RNA". Lineage: Eukaryota; Viridiplantae; Streptophyta; Magnoliopsida; Poales; Poaceae. The record is from RNAcentral.
AACGGCAUAUGCUUCCCUUACGACGUGCUCCUCGACAUCCUCCGCGGUCUCCCCUGCCGCCCGCUCGCCGAGUCCCGGCGCGUCUGCCGCACGUGGCGCGCCAUUGUCGACGCCCACAAGCUCCUCCUCCCGCACUUCUUCCCCCGGGGCCCGUUCCCCGGCAUCUUCACCACCAACUACGGAUGCGCCGAUAAAUCAUCCUUCUUCGCCCCGUCCGCGCCCGCGCGUUCAGAACAACUACGUGGGGCUUACGACGGGCCUGUCUUCCGGCAUCCUCUCUUUCGGCAUGACACCUUCUCCGUGCUCCACUUUUGCAACGGCCUCCUUCUCCUUAAGAACAGGUCACAACAUCAUCAUUAUGUGUGCAACCCGGCCACGGUGCGAAUCGCUAGCCUGCCGCCAUUGCCAGACAAGGAGACGUGGCUAUUCGUCGAGGGCAUGUUCCUCGCCUUCGACCCGGCCGUGUCGCGGCACCAUGAGGUAUUCCUCCUUCCAAAGGGAAAGAUCCUACCAAAGGAAAAGACCCAGCCACAAACUUGGGUCGAGGUCAAUUUGGAGCAGCUGCACUUGCCUAUAUUGUUUGAAGAAGAGAACCUAGCUGAAGAAGACCAAGAGGAGAUAGACAUCACAUAUCAUUCUGAUUAUGUGAGAGAUUUUAAUACAACACCACCAUCAGAUGUGAUCUCUAUAUCGGUAUUCUCGUCACAGACCAAUCAAUGGGUGAACCGGGAGUUUUUGCCGGGGCAUUACGCCCCUAGGAAACUCUAUGACAUGGUGACCGCGCCACACCCUAGUCACGUCAAAAUAUGGAAGUCGGCCGAGUACUGGCAAGGGUCGCUCUAUGUACAUUGCUGGAACCACAUCCUUUUGAUCUUGCGCAACUCGGAGGGGGUGUACAACAUGGCCCAAUUACCAGGUAAAACUUAUAUUGAUGAACACACAAGUUGGUCAAAGUUGCUCGAGAGCUCUGUCGUAGCGAGUUACGACAGAGGGGUUCACUAUGUGGCGCACGACAAAAUCCAACUAAGGGUGUGGACACUGAUAGAAUCAGACGAUGGCCAGGUUCAGUGGAUGCUAGCACACCAAGCAGAGCUUAGUCACGAAAUACCACAAUGGAUUGAGCCUAGAGUGCCAUGGAAGGCCAUCGGAAACAAGAAAGCAAUUGCUAGCUUGUUUGAACCUUAUAACAUUGAGGAUUUCAUGUAUGAUGAGGAGGAUGGCCAGAGCGACACAACUGAUGAUCGUGAUGUGAACGAUGGAAACGACGAAGCAAAAGACAUCCAUCAGGCGGAUGGUGGCUUCGAUGAUACACCCAGUAAUGUUGAUGACAAUGGUCACAGUGAAGAAGAUGCUGCUCACGAAGAUGAAGAUGACAUAUUCAAAAGUGUAGACAGCUUUGAGUCCUCUUGGGACUCGGACGAGGACAACUUCAUCGACCUACAUGAAAGUUCCGAAAGCAUGUCACGGGAUUACAAGAUCAUAGGAUUACACCCGCAUAAGGAAGUCGUGCUCCUCCAAACCCACGGCGCCGUUACAGCAUAUCAUAUUAGGACCACGAGAAUGCAAUAUUUAGGCUAUGACCUCAUUAGGAACCCUUGUACGAAUGCCCAUGGCAUCGGCGCUGCGUUCCCUUACCGCCCAUGCUACGUUGAUGCGCUUCCGGCAUCU